CGAGCGAGACCUUCGGGUCUAGCGGCGGACGGGUGAGUAACGCGUGGGAACGUGCCCUUCUCUACGGAACAGUCCCGGGAAACUGGGUUUAAUACCGUAUACGCCCUUCGGGGGAAAGAUUUAUCGGAGAAGGAUCGGCCCGCGUUAGAUUAGGUAGUUGGUGGGGUAAUGGCCUACCAAGCCUACGAUCUAUAGCUGGUUUGAGAGGAUGAUCAGCCACACUGGGACUGAGACACGGCCCAGACUCCUACGGGAGGCAGCAGUGGGGAAUCUUAGACAAUGGGGGCAACCCUGAUCUAGCCAUGCCGCGUGAGUGAUGAAGGCCUUAGGGUCGUAAAGCUCUUUCGCUGGGGAAGAUAAUGACUGUACCCAGUAAAGAAACCCCGGCUAACUCCGUGCCAGCAGCCGCGGUAAUACGGAGGGGGUUAGCGUUGUUCGGAAUUACUGGGCGUAAAGCGCGCGUAGGCGGAUCAGAAAGUUGGGGGUGAAAUCCCGGGGCUCAACCUCGGAACUGCCUCCAAAACUCCUGGUCUUGAGUUCGAGAGAGGUGAGUGGAACUCCGAGUGUAGAGGUGAAAUUCGUAGAUAUUCGGAAGAACACCAGUGGCGAAGGCGGCUCACUGGCUCGAUACUGACGCUGAGGUGCGAAAGUGUGGGGAGCAAACAGGAUUAGAUACCCUGGUAGUCCACACCGUAAACGAUGAAUGCCAGUCGUCGGGUAGCAUGCUAUUCGGUGACACACCUAACGGAUUAAGCAUUCCGCCUGGGGAGUACGGUCGCAAGAUUAAAACUC
This 792-nucleotide ribosomal RNA is filed under the name Salipiger sp. RNAcentral's name for it is "bacterial SSU rRNA". It matches the Rfam family "Bacterial small subunit ribosomal RNA", at positions 63 to 902 of the family's 1533-position model. The record is from RNAcentral. Lineage: Bacteria; Pseudomonadati; Pseudomonadota; Alphaproteobacteria; Rhodobacterales; Roseobacteraceae.